AAACUGUCCUCAGUUGCAUAAAUCCAAGAAUACACUUGACAGAAGAAUGGAAAAAAGGAAGCCUAGGAAGUCUAGAAACAAAAAUCAUAGUGAUGAGCAGUGCUGGAAGGCUGGUCAGCAGCCAGAGUACAGCUUCUCAUCUAUGUCAUCGUCAUCCAGCAGCCCAUACUUAAAUUUCCGGUAGACUGUGCCAUCCUGGCCCAUGUAGACGAUGUCAUCAUCAUCAUCCUCAUCAUAGUCCCGAUCCCUGUACUCAAUCACCUGAUCCUCUUCAAAGCUGGUGCUUUCUCGAUAGCUGCUCUUAUAGGAGGAGUAAGACUUGUUGGGGUCGGCCAGCUUUUCAUAGCCAGCCUUUGCUGCUGGUUGGACUUGGCCGUGAGAUUUCUUCCACACUACCACAGCUCCCCCGAGCAGAAGCGCCAGCAUCACGGAGGAGGUAAUGAACAGAGCUGUCUUGAAAUGCUCAGCUGCAGGCCUAACCUUGCUUGUUCGAAGGAUGCAUUCGUCUAUUGGAAGAAGACCCCAAAGGAAGAGGCAAGAGGGAAAAAGUGGAAGAAAUAGAAUAGAGAAAAUUAGUUUCUGAGAUGGGGUCUUGCUAUGUUGCCCAGGCUGAUCUCAAAUUCCUGGACUCAAGGGAUCCUCUUGCCUCAGCCUCCAAGUAGGUGGGAUUAUAGAUGCAUGCAAUUGCGACUUGCUGAGGUGCGCUUUCUACCACAUAUCUGCCUUAGCACAUGAGCCACCAAAUAGAAGAGGUCUGAAUCUGCAGCCUCUGUUUCCUGUGGAGGCAAUACUCUUAUCUCCUAAUUCAGACACCCUAAAAAGGACUGAUUCAAACAUUUCUUCUAUGCAGGUAUCAAGGGAUAACUUCUGGAAAGUUUGGGGACAGGAGACCUAAAUCUAGCUCAUUCUGUUGGGAAGUCCUGGACAUUUUUGCUCAUAAUUUUUAA
Long non-coding RNA from Symphalangus syndactylus (siamang), 947 nucleotides. RefSeq lists it as uncharacterized. The record is from RefSeq and is a predicted model, not a curated record. NCBI's taxonomy places the organism in Eukaryota, Metazoa, Chordata, Mammalia, Primates, Hylobatidae.